Molecule: transfer RNA, 27 nt
Filed under: Salaciopsis sparsiflora
Lineage: Eukaryota; Viridiplantae; Streptophyta; Magnoliopsida; Celastrales; Celastraceae
Description: partial tRNA-Leu
Source: RNAcentral
AAAUCCGUCGACUUUUUAAAUCGUGAG